GGUAUGCACUGGCUUCGCUGAUUCCUCCUUUCUGAAGAACUGUAAUGCCAUUAAUUUGGUGUUGCAGGGAAACAGGACUGUUACUUUGAAAAAAUUAGAGUGUUUAAAGCAGGCUAACGCUUGAAUACAUUAGCAUGGAAUAAUGAAAUAGGACGUUUGAUCCUAUUUUGUUGGUUUCUAGGAUUGACGUAAUGAUUAAUAGGGAUAGUUGGGGGCAUUAGUAUUCAAUUGUCAGAGGUGAAAUUCUUGGAUUUAUUGAAGACUGACUACUGCGAAAGCAUUUGCCAAGGAUGUUUUCAUUAAUCAAGAACGAAAGUUAGGGGAUCGAAGACGAUCAGAUACCGUCGUAGUCUUAACCAUAAACUAUGCCGACUAGGGAUCGGAUGAUGUUAAUUUUUUAAUGACUCAUUCGGCGCCUUACG
RNAcentral lists this ribosomal RNA (422 nucleotides) under uncultured Glomeromycotina. RNAcentral describes it as "SSU rRNA". It matches the Rfam family "Eukaryotic small subunit ribosomal RNA", at positions 672 to 1092 of the family's 1831-position model. Lineage: Eukaryota; Fungi; Glomeromycota. The record is from RNAcentral.